GGGGAUAUAGCUCAGUGGUAGAGUACAUGCCUACUAACGUACACAAGGUUCUGGGCUCAAUCCCCAGCACCUCCA
This 75-nucleotide transfer RNA is filed under the name Camelus bactrianus (Bactrian camel). It matches the Rfam family "tRNA". From Rfam's summary of the family: Transfer RNA (tRNA) molecules are approximately 80 nucleotides in length. Their secondary structure includes four short double-helical elements and three loops (D, anti-codon, and T loops). Lineage: Eukaryota; Metazoa; Chordata; Mammalia; Artiodactyla; Camelidae. RNAcentral also lists the same sequence under 2 other names. The record is from Rfam by way of RNAcentral.